CCGGCCAGCCCCGGGGCCGGGCGGCUCCCGCUCACCUGCCCGGCUCCCGCGCGACGGGGUAGGAGGGGCCGGCCCCGAGUCCGCGGGGCUGCAGGGAGGAGGGUCGGUGUGCCCUGCAGUCACACCCGGCGGAGGAGAGACAGGGGGAAGAGGAAGAGGAGGCGGAGCAGGAAGCCUCAGCGCAGAAAGAAGAAAAAAAGAUUUGCUUGUGCCACACCAUGUGUUACAAGUGAUGAUUUGUUCUUGGAGAACUAUGCCAUGUAAUAUGCAUUUGAUUCCUAACACCCUUCCCAUCAGCUACCCAGUCAGCCACUCAAAGAUGCCUAUGAUGGUGUGGAAGAGUGUGCGAAAGCAUCAUAUUUCAGCCUCAUCUUCUUUUGCAGAUCAACUUCUGCUACUUGCAGCUUCCCUGAAUAGUCCAUAAAGAAAAGAGUGUACUGAAAGCAGAGUUUGCUGAAAAGAGAGAGGCAGUUUGGAAAGCUUUGUAAGAGACGUGGGAGUGGGAGGAUGCUGCCUGCAUGAGUAUGUGGUGGUGCAGGAGGACAGCAAAACCUGCUCUGCUUUUGAAAGUCACAACAUGCUGUUCCACAAGAUUGUCACUAAGAUGAGAAACUUCUGCUCUCCAGAUACGAAGCAUGGGUGCUCCUAGGCACACUGCCUUGUACUGUCAUCAAAUCCUUAAGAUGGGACGUGUGUUGGAGACUCCAGAUGGUGAGACAAGCUAAAGCUACCCGUGUGCUGCCUUAAAAAAACCCUCAUAACUGAACUGACCAGAAAAAAAUAAAGAAAAUCAUUGUGAGUCAAA
This is a long non-coding RNA of Corvus hawaiiensis (hawaiian crow), 805 nucleotides long. RefSeq lists it as uncharacterized. The record is from RefSeq and is a predicted model, not a curated record. The transcript is spliced from 4 exons. Lineage: Eukaryota; Metazoa; Chordata; Aves; Passeriformes; Corvidae.